Molecule: long non-coding RNA, 1163 nt
Filed under: Triticum aestivum (bread wheat)
Lineage: Eukaryota; Viridiplantae; Streptophyta; Magnoliopsida; Poales; Poaceae
Description: long non-coding RNA (TAES_LNC003333)
Source: RNAcentral
GCAUCUUCUGCAAGGCCGACGACGGCUUCAGCGCCACCGUCCGCAACGGCACUGUGGUCCUCGCGCCCACCAACCCCCGCGACGAGUACCAGCACUGGUUCAAGGACAUGAGGCACAGCAACCGCAUCAAGGAUGAGGAAGGCUACCCGGCCUUCGCCCUCGUCAACAAGGUGACAGGCGAGGCCAUCAAGCACUCCCAAGGCGAGGGCCACCCUGUAAGCAACCAUCCAAGCCACUCAGAUCUUUUUCGAUUCAUUCGUCACUUGCAUGUAAAUUGUGGUGCCAUUGCGGUAAGAUCUGAGAGCUUGAGACUAAAUGAUUAACAAGAACUGUUUGGUUCGCUGUUGCUGUUGGAUCCAACAGGUGAAGCUGGUGCCAUACAACGCCAACUACCAGGACGAGUCAGUGUUGUGGACUGAGAGCCGCGACGUGGGCGCCGGCUUCCGGUGCAUCCGCAUGGUGAACAACAUCUACCUCAACUUUGACGCUCUCCACGGCGACAAGGAGCACGGCGGCGUUCGCGACGGCACCUCCCUCGUGCUGUGGAAGUGGUGCGAGGGCGACAACCAGCGCUGGAAGAUCCUCCCCUGGUGUAAGUGCCCCCUCACUCGCUCCCAUUUGCUUGCUAGUGGAGAACUUAACUUCUCCAUCUUCGCCUAACACUCACAACAUCUCCAUAAACUGGUGGAGUAGUCGGUAGAAGCGGAUGGAGUUGGCUUAUCUGCCAUCUUUUGAAUUAUUUGCGUUCCCUUUUGGCAAAUAUAUUAAUGUGUUUUUAUCGUUGCUUGCGUUUGCAGAAACGUGUCAUGCUGCUGAAGCUGAGUUGAUCGCCACCGUGACCCGGAGUUGGUAGAGAUCGGCCUGUGAUCUGUUGCCGCGUCGGUAGAAUAAAAGUCGUGUGCGGUCGGCGGUGGUGAUGUGUCCGUGAGUGUGUGUGUUUAGUUUCUGUCCUGUCGUUGUGUCCUGCUAUGGCGAGCUAUCCGAUGUAAUAAGCAUUUGGCACUUGUGCUUGUUUUUCAAACCAUGGAUCCGUGAUGAGAACCUCUGUACUGUGGUGCAAUCCUUUCAUCUAUGCGAAUGGUCUUUAUUGUCUAUAUCAAUACUUUUUCCCCACACCGAUCCAAAUAUGUUUGGAUUUCAUACAAACCGGACGCAAAUUCAAG